UGUCUGCAGAGGACAAAGCGGUGUGUAGAGAGGAUGUGCAGGCACGUCCCAGGACACUGAGCACACGGACACAUGGACUGGACUCUCAGCUCUGCUCUGGGGGCAUCACACUCUCUCUACCCCGGACACAGGGUGAGCAGCUCGCACGUAUCCUGGAGAGUAUGGUCACAUGACCUGGACCUGGCCAAUCGGUGUGUUCCAUCCUCCCUGGCCACCGUGAGUGGCUCAGGACUGGGGCGGUGACCAAUCAGGGCCCAGGGCCGGGCCUCACACUGGAAUCAAGGGAAGAGGAGGGCUGGUUCUGCCGGAAGGGGUGAGGCCGGGUGAGGUCAGGCUACAGCCGUGGGAGGGGAGUGAGUUCAGCCUGGGGCAGUUGGUGGCCUUCCUGCGCCCGUCAGGGCAGAGCCUCCGGCCUGAUAAGGAGGGCGCUGCUGAGCCCGGGGGUUGAGAGCGCCGGUUCCUGCUGUGGUCCCGGAGCUCCCCUGAGACCGGAGGGAGGCCAUCUGCCCAUUCGACCCAAGGGGGCCCCCGGCAUUCAAAAUGGAGAUGAAAUAAGAACCCCAGGAAGAAGAAAUUCCAAUACGGGCCAUGUCUGCUCCAAAAAUCUCCAGAAAGCACCACCCUCGGCGGCAUCACCCCGAUGAUCUCCUCACUUGGAGACAAAUAAAAGCCCUACUAAUCAAGCUGAAAAUUUGGUCUCUCAACAAGGGUUGCCUCCGAGUCCUGAAUACAUUCUCCUGGCAAUGCUCAGUCUUUUGGCCUGUGCCUCCCCCUGCUCAAGCUCAGACUAACACCCAACCCCCCUCUAUUACAGGUGGUCGAAUGGACAGAGAGAGGACCAAUCAUUUCAACUAAUGACUCUAUACAUAUGCUUUCUCCCCUAGUACAUGAAAGGGCCUUCACACCCUGGGCAGGAAAGAAAACUAAUUAAUAUUUCUUUAGGCUAUGAAGUCCUUCCCUUGUGCAUGGGCCCAGCAAAAUUGUGCAUAAACGUCAGCCGACAAAUUUGGGCUGACAAACUUGGGCUUUCGUCCUGCCUC
Long non-coding RNA from Bubalus bubalis (water buffalo), 1040 nucleotides. RefSeq lists it as uncharacterized. NCBI's taxonomy places the organism in Eukaryota, Metazoa, Chordata, Mammalia, Artiodactyla, Bovidae. The record is from RefSeq and is a predicted model, not a curated record. The transcript is spliced from 2 exons.